CGGGUGCGACGUGUAGCAGGUGCCCGACGGCGAUUCCCGCCCGAGGGUUAAACGGGAAACAGGUGCGCGAACGGCUCCCGAAGCCGCCCUCCGCAAUGCCUGUGCUGCCCCCGCAACGGUAAGUGGACGCAAAGCGCAUCCAACCGCCACUGGACGAGAGUCCGGGAAGGCGAUGCGCCCGGUACGGACUCCGCCACGGAGUGCCGACCAGCCCAUGAGCCCGGAUACCGGCCUGGACACGAGAAGGCGG
This 250-nucleotide non-coding RNA is filed under the name Azoarcus sp. Lineage: Bacteria; Pseudomonadati; Pseudomonadota; Betaproteobacteria; Rhodocyclales; Zoogloeaceae. The record is from RNAcentral.